RNAcentral lists this ribosomal RNA (297 nucleotides) under Chaetoceros curvisetus. Its description in RNAcentral is "partial Bacterial large subunit ribosomal RNA". It matches the Rfam family "Bacterial large subunit ribosomal RNA", at positions 595 to 894 of the family's 2925-position model. Lineage: Eukaryota; Bacillariophyta; Thalassiosirophyceae; Chaetocerotales; Chaetocerotaceae. The record is from RNAcentral.
GACUGCGUACCUUUUGUAUAAUGGGUCAGCGACUUACUGUUCGUGGCAAGCUUAACCGUAUAGGGGAGGCGAAGGGAAACCGAGUCUGAUAAGGGCGCAUAGUCGCGGGCAGUAGACCCGAAACCGGGUGAUCUAGUCAUGCCCAGGGUGAAGGUGCGGUAACACGCACUGGAGGCCCGAACCCACUCCCGUUGCAAAGGUAGGGGAUGAGGUGUGAUUAGGAGUGAAAAGCUAAUCGAACCCGGAGAUAGCUGGUUCUCCUCGAAAGCUAUUUAGGUAGCGCCUCGAGCGAAUACC